This 861-nucleotide ribosomal RNA is filed under the name uncultured Staphylococcus sp. RNAcentral's name for it is "bacterial SSU rRNA". It matches the Rfam family "Bacterial small subunit ribosomal RNA", at positions 524 to 1381 of the family's 1533-position model. Lineage: Bacteria; Bacillati; Bacillota; Bacilli; Caryophanales; Staphylococcaceae. The record is from RNAcentral.
UACGUAGUGGCGAGCGUUAUCCGGAAUUAGUUGGGCGUAAAGCGCGCGUAGGCGGUUUUUUAAGUCUGAUGUGAAAGCCCACGGCUCAACCGUGGAGGGUCAUUGGAUACUGAAAAACUUGAGUGCAGAAGAGGAAAGUGGAAUUCCAUGUGUAGCGGUGAAAUGGCGCAGAGAUAUGGAGGAACACCAGUGGCGAAGGCGACUUUCUGGUCUGUAACUGACGCGUGAUGUGCGAAAGCGUGGGGAUCAAACAGGAUUAGAUACCCUGGUAGUCCACGCCGUAAACGAUGAGUGCUAAGUGUUAGGGGGUUUCCGCCCCUUAGUGCUGCAGCUAACGCAUUAAGCACUCCGCCUGGGGAGUACGGCCGCAAGGCUUAAACUCAAAGGAAUUGACGGGGACCCGCACAAGCGGUGGAGCAUGUGGUUUAAUUCGAAGCAACGCGAAGAACCUUACCAAAUCUUGACAUCCUUUGACCGCUCUAGAGAUAGAGUCUUCCCCUUCGGGGGACAAAGUGACAGGUGGUGCAUGGUUGUCGUCAGCUCGUGUCGUGAGAUGUUGGGUUAAGUCCCGCAACGAGCGCAACCCUUAAGCUUAGUUGCCAUCAUUCAGUUGGGCACUCUAAGUUGACUGCCGGUGACAAACCGGAGGAAGGUGGGGAUGACGUCAAAUCAUCAUGCCCCUUAUGAUUUGGGCUACACACGUGCUACAAUGGACAAUACAAAGGGCAGCGAAACCGCGAGGUCAAGCAAAUCCCAUAAAGUUGUUCUCAGUUCGGAUUGUAGUCUGCAACUCGACUACAUGAAGCUGGAAUCGCUAGUAAUCGUAGAUCCGCAUGCUACGGUGAAUACCUUCCCGGGUCU